AAGUGUACCAUACCACCACCCCCUGCCCAUUCUUCAUAUAUUUUGUGGCGGUCGGUCAGUUCAUCAAAACACACAAAACAAGAACCAAACUUAAAUUUCAGUUCUAGCGGCCAGCAAUACUAGAACACACACACGCAAAGUACUUAAGAAUGCGUGUGUACAGAAAUUACCCUCUAGUACUGGCGGUGGCGAUCGACCAUGCCCGAACUUCUGAUUUGGCUGGUUCUUACAUAGGUACUUUCCAGACUAACCCUAGGGUAAACGAACGCCGAACUACUCAAAGAAGAAACAAAAAGUGUUGCUCUGUAUACUCUACAACCCACCGCGCACCAGCCACCGAACUAGUUCGGUAGUAGACGAAGAAACGAAAAAGCAUGAGAGGAAAAUGAAGAGAGCAGGUAGCUAAAAAUGAUGCUGAUCUGCUCUUCUCCUUUCCCUUUUCUGUUUUCGUUUGUGCCUUUGUGCAAAUCAGUGCGGCUGUCCAAGUGAUUAUAAUUAUUCAAUUUUAAACAGUAAGUCAAAGCAAAUGUAUAGCGAACGGCAUUUGCGUAGGCUGAAUAAAGAAAUAUAAGACAAAUAUGCAGCCAAACAUAAUUGUGUUAGCGGAGAAACAGUGUCGUGCAGUGAAAUAGAAAAAGUUGAAGGCCGCGAAAUAGGAGAGACAAUCGACGAAAAUGAAAAAAUGGAAAGUGACACUGAAAAAUAUGCCAUAACAGUAGACACGGGGACUGGAUCAGCUGAAGUUCAGCUUAGGAAGGCCCUACAGCUGCAAAAGAAACGUUUUUUCAAAAACAGUACCACCGCGAACAGCAGACCUUAAUUAGUAAAUUUAAAAACUAAAAUGA
Drosophila miranda is the source of this 845-nucleotide long non-coding RNA. RefSeq lists it as uncharacterized. The transcript has 2 exons. The record is from RefSeq and is a predicted model, not a curated record. Lineage: Eukaryota; Metazoa; Arthropoda; Insecta; Diptera; Drosophilidae.